RNAcentral lists this unclassified non-coding RNA (370 nucleotides) under Hevea brasiliensis (rubber tree). The record is from RNAcentral. Lineage: Eukaryota; Viridiplantae; Streptophyta; Magnoliopsida; Malpighiales; Euphorbiaceae.
AAGUGCAGGAGGGCUAAGAGCUGGCUCUACUUUCCAGGGUGAAACUCGGUCUGGCCUAGGAAUAGCAGAAGUUUCAUCCCAUCGAACCUUCAGGCAUCUCCAUUUUGACUCAGGCCACCUUUUGAGGUCAGCAUUUUCAAUGCCAACUAUAGUUCCAGUAAACCUCUGUUCUGGAGCUUCUUCACCUUCAAACCUCAUUUUAAACCUCAUCCCGAUGGAGUAAUUGUUUUUCAGAGACUCCAUAUACUGAUCAUAUGGAACUAUAAAGUCAGCAGGGCUCGUCCUUGGUUUAUAAUAUACUGUGAACAGUGUUUUCGUCUGAAUAGCAUGCCAAGCUGUAGCAAGGACACCAAGAUGCAUGCUAUGACUG